Molecule: ribosomal RNA, 253 nt
Filed under: uncultured bacterium
Lineage: Bacteria
Description: partial 16S ribosomal RNA
Rfam family: Bacterial small subunit ribosomal RNA
Source: RNAcentral
UACGAGUGCCCCAAGCGUUAUCCGGAAUCACUGGGCGUAAAGGGUGCGUAGGCGGGUCUUUAAGUCAGGGGUGAAAUCCUGGAGCUCAACUCCAGAACUGCCUUUGAUACUGAGGAUCUUGAGUUCGGGAGAGGUGAGUGGAACUGCGAGUGUAGAGGUGAAAUUCGUAGAUAUUCGCAAGAACACCAGUGGCGAAGGCGGCUCACUGGCCCGAUACUGACGCUGAGGCACGAAAGCGUGGGGAGCAAACAGG